GAUGAAGAACGUAGCGAAAUGCGAUACGUAAUGUGAAUUGCAGAAUUCAGUGAAUCAUCGAAUCUUUGAACGCAUAUUGCGCUCUUUGGUAUUCCGAAGAGCAUGCUUGUUUGAGUAUCAGUAAACACCUCAACCUCUUCUUGAUUUUUCAAAAGGAGGGUGGACUUGAGCUAUCCCAACAACCUUUACCGGUCGGCGGGCGGCUUGAAAUGCAGGUGCAGCUGGACUUUUAUCUGAGCUAAAAGCAUAUCUAUUUAGUCCUCGUCAAUCAGGAUUAUUACUUUUGCUGCAGCUAACAUAAAGGAUAAUUGUCCUCUUUGCUGACUGAUGCAGGAUUUUACGACACUUUAUGUGUUGUUCAACUCGAUCUCAAAUCAAGUAAGACUACCCGCUGAACUUAAGCAUAUCAAUAAGCGGAGGA
Molecule: unclassified non-coding RNA, 421 nt
Filed under: soil metagenome
Description: partial contains 5.8S ribosomal RNA, internal transcribed spacer 2, and large subunit ribosomal RNA
Rfam family: 5.8S ribosomal RNA (bases 1-120)
Source: RNAcentral